Molecule: small nuclear RNA, 19 nt
Filed under: Arabidopsis thaliana (thale cress)
Lineage: Eukaryota; Viridiplantae; Streptophyta; Magnoliopsida; Brassicales; Brassicaceae
Description: snRNA_07534
Source: RNAcentral
GAUCACCACUCUCGGUGGG